GAGGGUAUAGCUCAGUGGUAGAGCACAUGCUUGGUGUUCACAAGGUCCUGGGUUUAAUCCCUGGUACCUCCA
Molecule: transfer RNA, 72 nt
Filed under: Camelus dromedarius (Arabian camel)
Lineage: Eukaryota; Metazoa; Chordata; Mammalia; Artiodactyla; Camelidae
Also listed under: 1 other name
Rfam family: tRNA
About the family: Transfer RNA (tRNA) molecules are approximately 80 nucleotides in length. Their secondary structure includes four short double-helical elements and three loops (D, anti-codon, and T loops).
Source: Rfam by way of RNAcentral